UUCAAAAUCACCUAGACAUCUUGUUACAAUACAGAUUCUAUUUCAUCAGUGUUCAGGUAGAGAUCUGAUAUUCUGCAUUUCAAACAAGCUCCCACAUGAUGCUGAU
RNAcentral lists this microRNA precursor (106 nucleotides) under Marmota monax (woodchuck). Lineage: Eukaryota; Metazoa; Chordata; Mammalia; Rodentia; Sciuridae. The record is from RNAcentral.